Molecule: long non-coding RNA, 502 nt
Filed under: Medicago truncatula (barrel medic)
Lineage: Eukaryota; Viridiplantae; Streptophyta; Magnoliopsida; Fabales; Fabaceae
Description: lncRNA gene29236
Source: RNAcentral
AUUUUAUAGCUGUAGUCAACCUCUCUCAUAAAAAUUACUUUCCUAUUCCAAAACCUAUCAACAUCUUUAUCUCCCUCAUCAUAUCUUCACAUGCAACUCUACCUCAUCAUUUCUCAUCCCAUUGUUCUUACUAAACCUAGAAACUAAAAUCUCUUUCCUAUGAUCAUGCCAUUAAUUUGUUGUAAGCAAAAUCUCUCAUCCCUACCGCCAUGAGAAGAAGGAUUUGUUGCCUGUUACUCAAUGGAACUUCGCAACUCAUAAUCAAUCGAACUCUUACUCAAUCGAACUUAGCAGCUCAUAAUCAAUCGAACUCGCCAUAAACUUAGCAGAUCACCAUUGCUUCCGAGUUCCGACAAUAAGUUCUCAAAAAGGAUUAGCAGCUGUAAUAAGCUUUGGCUUGUUAACAUUGCCAGGUGUUUUUCUAACCAAAGCAUAUGUUGGAUUUCCUGCUUUAAUACUUGCCCAAACUAUGUGUCUUCCAAUAGCUCCUGUUGGUCCUAGG